This 149-nucleotide small RNA is filed under the name Kosakonia oryzendophytica. Its description in RNAcentral is "Glm Y RNA activator of glmS mRNA". It matches the Rfam family "Glm Y RNA activator of glmS mRNA". From Rfam's summary of the family: This family consists of a number of bacterial RNA genes of around 167 bases in length. RNAcentral also lists the same sequence under 1 other name. The record is from RNAcentral. Lineage: Bacteria; Pseudomonadati; Pseudomonadota; Gammaproteobacteria; Enterobacterales; Enterobacteriaceae.
AGUGGCUCAUUCAUCUUUCUUAUGUCAGCCCCUUCGGGACGUGCUACAUAAACUUCGAAUGACGCACUUAAAGGUGCCUGCCGUCCACCUGCUGAUAAUUGCUUUGCUUUAUCAGGCUUCGGGCGAAACGUCGAGUUAGGCACCGCCUA